RNAcentral lists this ribosomal RNA (253 nucleotides) under uncultured bacterium. RNAcentral describes it as "partial 16S ribosomal RNA". It matches the Rfam family "Bacterial small subunit ribosomal RNA", at positions 524 to 776 of the family's 1533-position model. The record is from RNAcentral.
UACAGAGGUCUCAAGCGUUGUUCGGAUUCAUUGGGCGUAAAGGGUGCGUAGGUGGCGCGCUAAGUCGGGUGUGAAAUCUCGGAGCUUAACUCCGAAAUUGCAUUCGAUACUGGCGUGCUUGAGGACUGGAGAGGAGACUGGAAUUCAUGGUGUAGCAGUGAAAUGCGUAGAGAUCAUGAGGAAGACCAGUGGCGAAGGCGGGUCUCUGGACAGUUCCUGACACUGAGGCACGAAGGCCAGGGGAGCAAGCGGG